Long non-coding RNA from Leopardus geoffroyi (Geoffroy's cat), 686 nucleotides. RefSeq lists it as uncharacterized. The transcript is spliced from 2 exons. NCBI's taxonomy places the organism in Eukaryota, Metazoa, Chordata, Mammalia, Carnivora, Felidae. The record is from RefSeq and is a predicted model, not a curated record.
GACUUCUGCAUGAAAGCACUGAAAAUUUGUUGUAUUAUUGUCAUCAUUUCACCUGCACCGAGGAAGCUCUAAAGUGGCAUUUGUUUCUACCCUUCAAAUAUCAACAGAGAUUACCAAGUCUUAUCCUUCCAAAUAAAUCCAAGGAUACAAACAACCUAUCCCAUCCCGUUUCCCUGUCAAGGGAUGAAGAAACCAUCGUGGCUGACUAUGUCUUUCUUUCUUCUUUAAGAGAGAUGUUUAGACCUGCUAGAGAAUAAGGAGGAACAUCCUCCAGAUCUAAGCAUAAUUUUAGGCAUCUGGUUACACCUCUGCCUGUGGCACCCUCUUUGCAAUUUCAAGUGAGACAGUGACUGGUGUCUUCUUGAUUCAUGACUUAAAUAUGCUUCAACAUUCUGUACUAAAUUGGCCAAUUCAGUCGGUCUUUUUCUCCCAAUGGUGACUGAAUUUUAAAAAAAAAUUUUUGAAAUCAAAAAGGAAUAGUUUUUUUUUCUUAAUACUUGUUCCAAAUGUAAACUGCCUUUUAAAAUAGUAGUUAAUCCUUUAUGGCUCUUAUAUGCAAUGCAAGAAUCGUGGUGUGUUUUAGGAUUAGUUAAUGUGGCUUAUGUAAAUGAUUUUAUAGGUCAUGAAAAAAUACAUAAAAUCUAAGUAAAAAGGAUUCUUUUUUUAAUAAAAGACUCAUGUAUUAA